This is a long non-coding RNA of Toxorhynchites rutilus septentrionalis, 1627 nucleotides long. RefSeq lists it as uncharacterized. NCBI's taxonomy places the organism in Eukaryota, Metazoa, Arthropoda, Insecta, Diptera, Culicidae. The record is from RefSeq and is a predicted model, not a curated record. The transcript is spliced from 2 exons.
UUAUCGCGUAAAUGCGAAGGUCAGAGAAAGAGUAGGUAACAAACGAAUAAUAUUUACGACACCAGCACGAUCCUCGGUAUGGAUCAUGCGCAGCGAUAGUGCGCUAGACGAAGAAACAAAAUAUUUUUAUUGAGGCAAUUAGCCAAGUUUAGGUUCGUCCCUUAUCGCAUGAAACGUGCGAAAGGCCGAAGAAGGAAAAGGACGUGUAAGAUGAAAUGUUUAUUUAAGUUUAUUUAGGUAUUGAACCCUCUAGUGAGGGCGAAGGACCACAAAACAAGCGGAUAGAAUUAGGCAGGCAAACCGACACUGUCUCGGUUGUCUGAGUAGGGGAGGGAGAUGUUUUAUCUCUCUCACAAAUUUAGGCUGGGUAAGAAUUUCGGGUAUAAAAACUGAAGAUUGCCUAGAAAAGUUAGUUCAAAUUCAUUCAAUCCAAAGGUAUAAACCUUUGGACAAGUUCAAUCAAAAGUCAAAAAGCACAGUUCAAUUCAUAACAAUCGAGGAAGUGUUAUCGUUCGCCACGUUGGGUAAUGUGCAAAAACUGAGCUGUGCUUCUCUGUUUGCACCAACCAACGGUUCGCACUGGUGAAUUGAAGAAGAGCGGAUUGAUCCGAAAACCACCAUCCAAGCGUUGGCAAUCAGGUGCCACACACCAGAAAUAAAUGGUAUACAAACAAAAAUAUCCCAAACGAAAGUAAUUGCGAGUUUCACUCGGACGGACCAAUCUGGAGCCGUCUGAUACUGAAACGUAUUUGUGAUUACGGGGUAUUUUUGACCGGGCUUAGCCCUCAAGAGACCACUUCUAAACAAGUCCAGAGAAAUAGGUUCCCUGGCUCCAUUAACACCAGGUGGCUCCAUUCUUGGAGAAAACUACCAGUUCCGGAUAACGUGAUUCUAAUGCCUAAAUUGCCGAUAUCUAGGGAAAUAAAUUCCCUAGAUAAAAUUACGAGAAACUCGAGAGAGGACGAGCUAAAAGUCUUGCUUCAAUAGCAAGCAUCUAGGGAAUUUCGAGUUCCCUAGAUCACAACCCCCUUAAGGUUAGGGACUAUUUCUUCGACAGAUCCAUCGAUUCGUCGGCAAUCAAACUGAAAAGAUUGCUUCGCAAAUGACUAAUGGGCUCCUUGUGUUGACCAUCUUCGAGAACAUUCGUGAUCACAGCAGCCAUUUUUGUGCUUCUCAGUCGCAGCAUGCUUCAAGAAAUCCUUCAGUCCUCCGAGACACAUGUCAUGGAACAUGUCCUUACUACAUACUUUGUAAAAACCAGCAUGCUUAUCGAUACUCUGAGAAUACCCUUCGGUGAAAUCAGUGAUGCCAUUUUGAACAACUGUUUCAAUAAAAUUAGCACAAACUAACUUUUCAGACCAACUUAAAAAAGUGAAAUGUGAUUGCAGUUUUUUUUAAAUCUGGGGGGAAAGCUGAACUAGAUAAAGGACAGUCUGGAUAUCUGGAUGCUUUACUAAAGUCUGGGAGAUUUCAGAAAAAAUCUGGACGUCUGGCUACCGUGGUUUGAGCGAGUGAACUUGACAUCAUUUUCCCAUCAAAAUUCAACAAAAUGUAAUGUGAAAUCACAAAUAAUAAUUUAAGUGUAAAUAUAUUAAUACAAAUUACUCACAAAUACUGGAGAAGGCAA